AUUGAACGCUGGCGGCAGGCCUAACACAUGCAAGUCGAGCGGAUGAAGGGAGCUUGCCCCUGGAUUCAGCGGCGGACGGGUGCGUAAUGCCUAGGAAUCUGCCUGGUAGUGGGGGAUAACGUCUGGAAACGGGCGCUAAUACCGCAUACGUCCUGAGGGAGAAAGUGGGGGAUCUUCGGACAUCACGCUAUCAGAUGAGCCUAGGUCGGAUUAGCUAGUUGGUGGGGUAAAGGCCUACCAAGGCGACGAUCCGUAACUGGCCUGAGGGGAUGAUCAGUCACACCAGAACUGAGACACGGUCCGGACUCCUACGGGAGGCAACAGUGGAGAAAGUUAGACUAUGGGCGGGAGGCUGAUCCAGCCAUGCCACGUGUGUUAAGAAGUUCUUCGGAUUGGAAAGCACAUUAAGUUUGGUAGAAGAGCAAUAAUUUAAUACCUUACUGUUUUGACGGUACCAUCAGAAUAAGCACCGGCUAACUUCGUG
This 484-nucleotide ribosomal RNA is filed under the name uncultured bacterium. Its description in RNAcentral is "partial 16S ribosomal RNA". It matches the Rfam family "Bacterial small subunit ribosomal RNA", at positions 30 to 507 of the family's 1533-position model. The record is from RNAcentral.